Molecule: non-coding RNA, 97 nt
Organism: Mycena olivaceomarginata
Lineage: Eukaryota; Fungi; Basidiomycota; Agaricomycetes; Agaricales; Mycenaceae
Source: the annotation of a GenBank genome assembly
UCUUGACUAGUAUAUCGGUUAGUACACGCGCUUGUCAUAAACCAUACGGCAAUUCAGAUAUGCGCGCGAAAGCUGGGUUCGACUCCCAGGUCGAGAG